UUCCUACGGGGGGCAGCAGUGAGGAAUAUUGGUCAAUGGCCGCAGGGCUGAACCAGCCAAGUCGCGUGAGGGAUGACGGUCCUAUGGAUUGUAAACCUCUUUUGUCAGGGAGCAAAGGGCGCCACGUGUGGCGCUUUGCGAGUACCUGAAGAAAAAGCAUCGGCUAACUCCGUGCCAGCAGCCGCGGUAAUACGUAGGUGGCGAGCGUUGUCCGGAAUUACUGGGUGUAAAGGGAGUGUAGGCGGGAAAGCAAGUCAGAAGUGAAAACUAUGGGCUUAACCCAUAGCCUGCUUUUGAAACUGUUU
RNAcentral lists this ribosomal RNA (305 nucleotides) under uncultured bacterium. RNAcentral's name for it is "bacterial SSU rRNA". It matches the Rfam family "Bacterial small subunit ribosomal RNA", at positions 336 to 638 of the family's 1533-position model. The record is from RNAcentral.